CUACCCCGGGGAUAACAGGCUUAUCUCCCCCAAGAGUUCACAUCGACGGGGAGGUUUGGCACCUCGAUGUCGGCUCAUCGCAUCCUGGGGCUGUAGUCGGUCCCAAGGGUUGGGCUGUUCGCCCAUUAAAGCGGUACGCGAGCUGGGUUCAGAACGUCGUGAGACAGUUCGGUCCCUAUCCGUCGUGGGCGUAGGAAAUUUGAGAGGAGCUGUCCUUAGUACGAGAGGACCGGGAUGGACAUACCUCUGGUGUACCAGUUGUCGUGCCAACGGCAUAGCUGGGUAGCUAUGUGUGGACGGGAUAAGUGCUGAAAGCAUCUAAGCAUGAAGCCCCCCUCAAGAUGAGAUUUCCCAACUUCGGUUAUAAGAUCCCUCAAAGAUGAUGAGGUUAAUAGGUUCGAGGUGGAAGCAUGGUGACAUGUGGAGCUGACGAAUACUAAUCGAUCGAAGACUUAAUCAAAA
This 462-nucleotide ribosomal RNA is filed under the name Staphylococcus aureus. RNAcentral describes it as "partial 23S ribosomal RNA". It matches the Rfam family "Bacterial large subunit ribosomal RNA", at positions 2463 to 2925 of the family's 2925-position model. Lineage: Bacteria; Bacillati; Bacillota; Bacilli; Caryophanales; Staphylococcaceae. The record is from RNAcentral.